This 492-nucleotide ribosomal RNA is filed under the name uncultured bacterium. Its description in RNAcentral is "partial 16S ribosomal RNA". It matches the Rfam family "Bacterial small subunit ribosomal RNA", at positions 29 to 507 of the family's 1533-position model. The record is from RNAcentral.
AGUGAACGCUGGCGGUAGGCCUAACACAUGCAAGUCGAACGGCAGCACGGUAAGAGCUUGCUCUUACGGGUGGCGAGUGGCGGACGGGUGAGGAAUACAUCGGAAUCUACUUUUUCGUGGGGGAUAACGUAGGGAAACCUACGCUAAUACCGCAUACGACCUACGGGUGAAAGCAGUGGAUCUUCUGACCUUGCGCGAUUGAAUGAGCCGAUGUCGGAUUAGCUAGUUGGCGGGGUAAAGGCCCACCAAGGCGACGAUCCGUAGCUGGUCUGAGAGGAUGAUCAGCCACACUGGAACGGAGACACGGUCCAGACUCCUACGGGAGGCAGCAGUGGGGAAUAUUGGACAAUGGGCGCAAGCCUGAUCCAGCCAUACCGCGUGGGUGAAGAAGGCCUUCGGGUUGUAAAGCCCUUUUGUUGGGAAAGAAAAGCAGCAGGUUAAUACCCCGCUGUUCUGACGGUACCCAAAGAAUAAGCACCGGCUAACUUCGUG